Molecule: ribosomal RNA, 253 nt
Filed under: uncultured bacterium
Lineage: Bacteria
Description: partial 16S ribosomal RNA
Rfam family: Bacterial small subunit ribosomal RNA
Source: RNAcentral
UACAGAGGUCCCAAGCGUUGUUCGGAUUCACUGGGCGUAAAGGGUGCGUAGGUGGGUCUUUAAGUCAGGGGUGAAAUCCUGGAGCUCAACUCCAGAACUGCCUUUGAUACUGAGGAUCUUGAGUUCGGGAGAGGUGAGUGGAACUGCGAGUGUAGAGGUGAAAUUCGUAGAUAUUCGCAAGAACACCAGUGGCGAAGGCGGCUCACUGGCCCGAUACUGACGCUGAGGCACGAAAGCGUGGGGAGCAAACAGG